Molecule: ribosomal RNA, 482 nt
Filed under: uncultured bacterium
Lineage: Bacteria
Description: partial 16S ribosomal RNA
Rfam family: Bacterial small subunit ribosomal RNA
Source: RNAcentral
GACGAACGCUGGCGGCGUGCUUAACACAUGCGAGUCGAACGAUGAAGAAGAGAAACGCGAACUUCGGUUCAACUUUCACUUCGGAUUAGUGGCAGACGGGUGAGUAACGCGUGAGCAACCUACCUCUUACAAAGGGAUAGCCUCGGGAAACCGUGAUUAAUACCAUAUGACACAUUCAUAAGGCAUCUUAAGAAUGUUAAAGCUACGGCGGUAAGAGAUGGGCUCGCGUCCCAUUAGCUAGUUGGUGAGGUAACGGCCCACCAAGGCGACGAUGGGUAACCGGCCUGAGAGGGUGAACGGUCACAUUGGAACUGAGACACGGUCCAAACUCCUACGGGAGGCAGCAGUGGGGAAUAUUGCACAAUGGAGGGAACUCUGAUGCAGCGACGCCGCGUGAGCGAUGAAGGAAUUCGUUUCGUAAAGCUCUGUUCUAUGGGAAGAAAAGGACUGUACCAUAGGAGAAAGCCCCGGCUAAAUACGUG